Molecule: ribosomal RNA, 403 nt
Filed under: uncultured bacterium
Lineage: Bacteria
Description: partial 16S ribosomal RNA
Rfam family: Bacterial small subunit ribosomal RNA
Source: RNAcentral
AUUGAACGCUGGCGGCAGGCCUAACACAUGCAAGUCGAGCGAGCGCCGGAAGGGUGAUUAAUGUAUGGGGACUGCCCGACAGAGGUGGUUAACUAUUGGAAUCGUUAGCUAACCCUGCUAACCAUCGGAUACCCCAUAUGGGCUUAGCUAGUAGGUGAGCUAAGGGCUAACUAAGGCGAAGACCCCUAGCUGGUCGGAGAGGAUGAUCAGCCACACUGUGACUGAGACACGGCCCAGACUCCUACGGAGGCAGCAGUGGGGAAUAUUGCACAAUGGGCGCAAGCCUGAUGCAGCCAUGCCGCGUGUAUGAAGAGGGCCCUAGGGUUGUAAAGUACUUUCAGUCGGGAGGCGUUACCGACAGAAGAAGCACCGGCUAACUCCGUGCCAGCAGCCGCGGUAAUAC